UUGAAAGGGAAACGAUUGAAGUCAGUCGUACCAGCGGGAAAUCAACCUUUCGAGGUGGNNUUUUGGAGUUUUGAAGAGUGUUAAAACCUUUGGGAUUUCAAAAUGUUCGCUCUUUUGGUGUACUUUCUCGUAGGUAGGUUAACAUCGAUUUUGAUCAUCAUAAAAGGAUUGGAGGAAUGUAGCUUCGAUCUCGUAUUGAAGUGUUAUAGCCUUUGGUAAAUGUGAUGAUUAGGAUCGAGGAUUGCAACGAAUACCCUUUUGGGCUAUCCGCCUGAUCUCUGAUACGUGACCUUGGUAUUGAAAGCGUGCUUAUGAUAUUGAGGUAUUACGGUCAAAAGGUUAGAACGGAUUACAUUCGUUAAGGAUGUUGACGUA
Molecule: ribosomal RNA, 375 nt
Filed under: uncultured Glomeromycotina
Lineage: Eukaryota; Fungi; Glomeromycota
Description: LSU rRNA
Source: RNAcentral